This 946-nucleotide ribosomal RNA is filed under the name uncultured prokaryote. RNAcentral describes it as "bacterial SSU rRNA". It matches the Rfam family "Bacterial small subunit ribosomal RNA", at positions 488 to 1445 of the family's 1533-position model. The record is from RNAcentral.
AGGAUCGGCUAACUCCGUGCCAGCAGCCGCGGUAAUACGGAGGAUCCAAGCGUUAUCCGGAAUCAUUGGGUUUAAAGGGUCCGUAGGUGGAUAAUUAAGUCAGAGGUGAAAGUUUGCAGCUCAACUGUAAAAUUGCCUUUGAUACUGGUUAUCUUGAGUUAUUAUGAAGUAGUUAGAAUAUGUAGUGUAGCGGUGAAAUGCAUAGAUAUUACAUAGAAUACCAAUUGCGAAGGCAGAUUACUAAUAAUCAACUGACACUGAUGGACGAAAGCGUGGGGAGCGAACAGGAUUAGAUACCCUGGUAGUCCACGCCGUAAACGAUGGUUACUAGCUGAUCGGACUUCGGUCUGAGUGGCUAAGCGAAAGUGAUAAGUAACCCACCUGGGGAGUACGUUCGCAAGAAUGAAACUCAAAGGAAUUGACGGGGGCCCGCACAAGCGGUGGAGCAUGUGGUUUAAUUCGAUGAUACGCGAGGAACCUUACCAGGGCUUAAAUGUAGUGUGACAGGACUAGAGAUAGUUUUUUCUUCGGACACAUUACAAGGUGCUGCAUGGUUGUCGUCAGCUCGUGCCGUGAGGUGUCAGGUUAAGUCCUAUAACGAGCGCAACCCCUGUUGUUAGUUGCCAGCGAGUCAUGUCGGGAACUCUAACAAGACUGCCAGUGCAAACUGUGAGGAAGGUGGGGAUGACGUCAAAUCAUCACGGCCCUUACGUCCUGGGCUACACACGUGCUACAAUGGUAUAGACAGAGAGCAGCCACUGGGCGACCAGGAGCGAAUCUAUAAACUAUAUCACAGUUCGGAUCGGAGUCUGCAACUCGACUCCGUGAAGCUGGAAUCACUAGUAAUCGCAUAUCAGCCAUGAUGCGGUGAAUACGUUCCCGGGCCUUGUACACACCGCCCGUCAAGCCAUGGAAGCUGGGAGUGCCUGAAGUCCGUCACCGUAAG